CCUACGGGGUGCAGCAGUGGGGAAUAUUGCACAAUGGGGGAAACCCUGAUGCAGCAACGCCGCGUGAGUGAAGAAGUAUUUCGGUACGUAAAGCUCUAUCAGCAGGGAAGAAAAUGACGGUACCUGACUAAGAAGCCCCGGCUAACUACGUGCCAGCAGCCGCGGUAAUACGUAGGGGGCAAGCGUUAUCCGGAUUUACUGGGUGUAAAGGGAGCGUAGACGGCAGCGCAAGUCGGGGGUGAAAUCCCAUGGCUUAACCAUGGAACUGCUUUGGAAACUGUGCAGCUAGAGUGCAUGAGAGGUAAGCGGAAUUCCUAGUGUAGCGGUGAAAUGCGUAGAUAUUAGGAGGAACACCAGUGGCGAAGGCGGCUUACUGGACUGUAACUGACGUUGAGGCUCGAAAGCGUGGGGAGCAAACAGGAUUAGAUACCCGAGUAGUC
RNAcentral lists this ribosomal RNA (440 nucleotides) under uncultured bacterium. RNAcentral's name for it is "partial 16S ribosomal RNA". It matches the Rfam family "Bacterial small subunit ribosomal RNA", at positions 338 to 795 of the family's 1533-position model. The record is from RNAcentral.